RNAcentral lists this transfer RNA (97 nucleotides) under Planotetraspora phitsanulokensis. Its description in RNAcentral is "tRNA-Pro". The record is from RNAcentral. Lineage: Bacteria; Bacillati; Actinomycetota; Actinomycetes; Streptosporangiales; Streptosporangiaceae.
CGGCCGGGUGGGCCGGCUCGAUGGGCUGCCGCGGUCAGGGAUCGCGGGGGAGACCGAGGGCGCGCUCUCCGAUGAUGUUCAACUGCACCUCGGUCGU